GCGGACAUAGUGUAGUGGUUAGCACGCAAGCUUCCCAAGCUUGCUACCCGGGUUCGAAUCCCGGUGUCCGCA
This 72-nucleotide transfer RNA is filed under the name Thermoplasmata archaeon. Its description in RNAcentral is "tRNA-Gly". It matches the Rfam family "tRNA". Rfam says of the family: Transfer RNA (tRNA) molecules are approximately 80 nucleotides in length. Their secondary structure includes four short double-helical elements and three loops (D, anti-codon, and T loops). RNAcentral also lists the same sequence under 1 other name. The record is from RNAcentral. Lineage: Archaea; Methanobacteriati; Thermoplasmatota; Thermoplasmata.